UUUUAGCCCCGAUUGAAGAGAAAAUAAAAAAACCUUUCUGGUGUUCAGAAAGGUUUUUUUAUUGUAACGAAAAGCGGGAAUUGCA
RNAcentral lists this small RNA (85 nucleotides) under Flavobacterium dankookense. Its description in RNAcentral is "Flavobacterium sp. ARSA-19 Flavo-1 RNA". It matches the Rfam family "Flavo-1 RNA". Lineage: Bacteria; Pseudomonadati; Bacteroidota; Flavobacteriia; Flavobacteriales; Flavobacteriaceae. The record is from Rfam by way of RNAcentral.